UCAAACUUGGUCAUUUAGAGGAAGUAAAAGUCGUAACAAGGUCUCCGUAGGUGAACCUGCGGAGGGAUCAUUACCGAGUGCGUGCCCCCCGGGGCCGACCUCCAACCCACUGUUAUCUGACCACGUUGCCUCGGGGGCGACCCGGCCGUUUGGCCCCGGGGCCCCCGGUGGAAACCCAUCAAACCCUGCAUCCAUGCGUCUGAGUAGAAUUUGAAUCAAUCAAAACUUUCAACAACGGAUCUCUUGGUUCUGGCAUCGAUGAAGAACGCAGC
Molecule: unclassified non-coding RNA, 272 nt
Filed under: uncultured fungus
Lineage: Eukaryota; Fungi
Description: partial contains small subunit ribosomal RNA, internal transcribed spacer 1, and 5.8S ribosomal RNA
Rfam family: Eukaryotic small subunit ribosomal RNA (bases 1-73)
Source: RNAcentral